Molecule: long non-coding RNA, 201 nt
Organism: Oncorhynchus keta (chum salmon)
Lineage: Eukaryota; Metazoa; Chordata; Actinopteri; Salmoniformes; Salmonidae
Exons: 3
Source: RefSeq, a predicted model, not a curated record
GGACAGUAGAGGUGAAGAGAGGGCAGUAGAGGACAGUAGAGGACAGUAGAGGUGAAGAGAGGACAGUAGAGGUGAAGAGAGGACAGUAGAGGACAGUAGAGGACAGUAUAGGACAGUAGAGGUGAAGAGAGGACAGUAGAGGACAGUAGAGGUGAAGAGAGGACAGUAGAGGACAGUAGAGGUGAAGAGAGGACAGUAGAG